Heterocephalus glaber (naked mole-rat) is the source of this 1855-nucleotide long non-coding RNA. NCBI's taxonomy places the organism in Eukaryota, Metazoa, Chordata, Mammalia, Rodentia, Bathyergidae. The record is from Ensembl.
GUAAAUUGGUUUAAAAUAUAUGCAUAUUUUAAAGAAUCAUUUUGUUGUAUGUAGAAAACAGACAUAUUAAUUCAAUAUAAAUGACGUGAUGACGUGAAAUAUUGAAAUUGAUUUAAAGUCCAAUAGUUAAACCAUGGCAAAAAUAGCUUUUUACAUAUCAUUGCUAAGUUUUAAUACUUUCGAUUCAUUGAAGUGUGAGAUGGAUUUGACACCUCUGUAAAUGGCAUUUAAGUUCUACAUUCUCACCACUUGAGGUGUCUUGUACUUAAGAUAACACCCAGUAAGAGUUAGGGAUAUCCCAAAUUGCUAGUUUUUAAAUCUUACUAAUGCAGAAACAAGGGAAAAAGCAAAAUUGGCCUGAAUAUUCUCUUGGGGAAAAAGGGCACUAAAGGAAAGGGUAAGUGCAUCAGAUGUCCAAAGAGAGGUAUAAGACCAGUUAGCCAAGCUGCAUCUUGCAGAGAGGUGAGGGGAAAAUGGUUUAGAAACCCCAGAAAAAGAGCCUUCACAGCUUGCUCAACUGUUAGCAAAACCUUUUUUUAUGUAGGACCCAGACCCGUUCUCUUGUCAGUUUUGUAGAUUGUUAAAGAUGCUUUCUUUUGGUCAUCCUUGUUCAGGUACACAUGACCAUGUCUAUAGCCCUUCAUUUGCUGGAUUUGUCUUCGUAGGUCUGUCUAGCAUUGAUAAGGUGACAUGCAGAGAAGCCCUUUUCUUACCCAGUUUUACAGUCUAGCAAACAAGGAAGCCCUCUUUGGGACUGUGUUUGUCACCAAACUUUUAAAUCCUUUACUUAGCUUCCCGUGUUCCACAAAAUAACUUAGACAUUUUGGAUAAUGCUGUUUAUUUGGAGGUAGGAGGAUUCCAUUCUGUGGCUGAGGUAUGUUGUUCCCAUAUAGGCUUUUUUAUAUCUACCUAAACUGAGGGAACCAUCCCGAUAUAUUUUGGGCUUUGCAAUACUGUUUUAAAAUAGAUUAAUAAUGAAGCUCUGCAUAGAGGGACUUGUCAGAAUUGGGAUGGGAGCAGGGAGCUGCCUAACUUUUAUUUCUUGUUCCUAGUUAGGGACAUGACCUGACUCUUCAGUCUGGUAUAAAGCAUUGGUCUAAAGAGAGCUGUUCUUAUAUUCCUUGGUCUUGAUUAUCAGUUAAAAAAAUCAGUCAUGUCUCUACAGAUGAAUCUUUGUGAGAUAUCUUUGUAUCCAUAUCCCAACCUCUUUGUAGUUUAUAAUGACCCUUUAAGUAAUUAAAGGAAACAAAACAAGUGGAUUUUACAGAGCCUUUGUGUCCCACUCUUUUAUCCCAGUCCGCAGCCUUUCUGUCAAAGCAGAUUUUUAAAAAUGUUUUCCAUUAGAGCUUUACACUUUGCAAAAGUGUUUUAUAUACAUUUUCUAAUUUCAUAAACAAUAAAAUUAAUUUAGGUUUUAUUUUGCUAAUGGGGAGUUUUUUUCCUUAUGAUUAGUAUAUCUUGAAGAAUCUUGCUAUAACCCAGUGGUAUUUCAUGUUUUAAAGACUUCUGUGAAAUUAUUAGUUGACUCACAAUACAAGAUAUGAUACAGAGUAGGAAAAAACCCUGCUAUAGUCAUAAUUGCUGGCUUAAAAAUAGACUUUAGAACUAAAUGGUUGAUUAUAAGAUUUACAUGGAAGAGCAAAGAAGGAAAAUUAUAUUUUUAAAGAAAGAGAAUAUUCAGGCUUUAUUUCUGGUAUGAAAUUUAUAUUUUUAAAAAAGAUCCUAUAUUAUCACACCAGAGAUUUUAGAUUCUUUUCUGGUUACAAACAUUGCUGGUAGUUGGAUUAUAUUUUUAUUGUAUUCAUUUCUCUUAGGGGGAAAAUUGUAAAGAAACAAAAAAGGUUCCAGAUGAAUG